GACGUAGGGCGCGAGCGUUUGUCCGGAUUUAUUGGGCGUAAAGAGCUCGUAGGCGGCUUGUCGCGUCGACUGUGAAAACCCGUGGCUCAACCAUGUGGUCUGCAGUCGAUACGGGCAGGCUAGAAUUCGGUAGGGGAGACUGGAAUUCCUGGUGUAGCGGUGAAAUGCGCAGAUAUCAGGAGGAACACCGGUGGCGAAGGCGGGUCUCUGGGCCGAUAUUGACGCUGAGGAGCGAAAGCGUGGGGAGCGAACAGG
Molecule: ribosomal RNA, 255 nt
Filed under: uncultured bacterium
Lineage: Bacteria
Description: partial 16S ribosomal RNA
Rfam family: Bacterial small subunit ribosomal RNA
Source: RNAcentral